This is a long non-coding RNA of Solanum stenotomum, 456 nucleotides long. RefSeq lists it as uncharacterized. Lineage: Eukaryota; Viridiplantae; Streptophyta; Magnoliopsida; Solanales; Solanaceae. The record is from RefSeq and is a predicted model, not a curated record. The transcript has 3 exons.
CUGUUGUGGAAAUCAAAAUUCUUCAGGAGAGCCGCUUAAGCACCUCUUAAGCAGAAGAAAAGCAAAGACGCCUGGAAAAUUUUACUUCUACCUCUUUCACCAAGGAUGAAAGAUAUGAAUGCAUUUCCUUGCCUCGAUGAAAAACCACUCAUUCCAGGCAUGUUUGAUAGAAGCAAGCUGAGAAUUGAACCGUAUUUGGUGGACGUUUAUUCAACUGGACAUUUAAAUCAGGGCUCGACCCUAAACCUUUUCCUGGGUACAUGUAUAAGCUGUCAGAGUUGAACUAGGAAGCAGCCGUAGUGGCUAUGUGACAUCUUCGACUUUACCCGCCGUUGGAGUUGAUUUGCUUCAAGUGAUUUACUGAUACAUUACAUGCGUACAUUUUGAAUUUUUUUUGGGAAGAAAUCACAGUGGCCAUUCUUUUGUUUGACCAGCAGCUAAGAUUAUCAGUUUCAU